This 253-nucleotide ribosomal RNA is filed under the name uncultured prokaryote. RNAcentral describes it as "partial 16S ribosomal RNA". It matches the Rfam family "Bacterial small subunit ribosomal RNA", at positions 525 to 777 of the family's 1533-position model. The record is from RNAcentral.
ACGGAGGGUGCGAGCGUUGUCCGGAAUCACUGGGCGUAAAGGGCGCGUAGGCGGCCGUGUAAGUCACUUGUGAAAUCCCGGGGCUCAACUCCGGGGCUGCAGGUGAGACUGCAUGGCUAGAGCUCGGUAGAGGCAAGUGGAAUUCCCGGUGUAGCGGUGGAAUGCGUAGAUAUCGGGAAGAACACCGGUGGCGAAGGCGGCAUCCUGGACCGGCAUUGACGCUGAGGCGCGAAAGCCAGGGGAGCAAACGGGA